CAGCACGGCCAGUUUCACCUUCCCGAAUUUAUCUUGCUCUAUCCAGGGCUCCCGCACGACUUUGGCACCCCGUUCCUUGGCUUUCUGCAGAGGAGAUGGGCCCCGGGGGCGAGCCCAGCCGCCUGGCCCCGACUCCGAGCUGACACCUGCUGUUGUCUGCUGCGGGCCAUUUCAGCCCCAUCACGAGCUGUGCGGAACGAAAAUCAGGUGAAGCCGCUGCAUUCGAUGAGCUGGUUUGGGCCACCCGUCUGCGGAGCGGACGCUGUGAAAACGCACGGCUGCUGCCCGGCCGCCUGGUUGCCGCAGAUGUCCCCGAUGAAGGGUUUGCUUUCUGAUGGCACAAAUUAAAACCCAGCUGCUGAUCGGCUA
Suricata suricatta (meerkat) is the source of this 369-nucleotide long non-coding RNA. RefSeq lists it as uncharacterized. The record is from RefSeq and is a predicted model, not a curated record. NCBI's taxonomy places the organism in Eukaryota, Metazoa, Chordata, Mammalia, Carnivora, Herpestidae. The transcript has 2 exons.